UCCUCCCUUUCCAAGGAGCAAGAUUUAGUUGUGGCCACCCUGCCCUGGAGUUUCUCACACAAAUGAAUUUGGCAACUAAGAAAAGAGACAGGAGGGGGAAAAAAGGAGGAACUCCUGGCUGAGCUUCACUCUGUAAGAAGUGAUAAGCAGGGGAUGGGAAGGCUUAUUAAACUAGAGCAUUAAGUUGCAGGUCCAGGAAAACUGAAGACAGCAUAAUGCACACUCACUGCACAAUAUUCUCUGUUACACAUGGAUACCAGCAACAAUACACAGUGGGCUCUGGCAUAAGUGACUGGCAGCUUGGUGCUCAUCUGUCUUCUGAGCCUCAUUCUGCAACAAGGAGUUCCUGCUUACACGGAAGCCAGGAAUUAAUCAAAGGCACAGGACUUGGACUUCUAGUACUGCUUCUUCUGAACUUCAGGCAGGUGAUGCAUCCUUAGCCUUCUGGUGGCACAUGGAAACAGCGAAGGUUUGACGACUACACAGCAGCAUGAGUUUGAAGAGAUUGGUUUUAUUUUGUUUUUGCUCUAAGACGGGGGUAAUUUCAAAGAACCGUUUUGAGGACUUAAAUAAAAUAAAUUCUCCAUCCUAUAUGAAUGCUAAAAAAAAAUUAGCUGCUAUUGUGAAAGAAGAAAUCAGGUUCUAUUGAAGAAAACCUAGGAACUGUAAAUGUUUCCAUUGUCAACAUGAGUUUUAUGAAUCCACCUAAAUGCUUCAAAAAUGCAGACAUGUGUAGCCCAUCUAUUGGAGAGUCUGAUUCAGUUAGGAUACAGCGAAGUUGAGGCAUCUGGAGUUUUUUUAGCUCCUCUGAUGACUGCAGUCACCAAGCAGAAGUGGAGACAAUUGGUGUCUGGAAAAACCUCAGCGCUCCGAUUCUAGCAGUGGCAAAUUGUUGGAUUUCUUAUCCUCUGUAAUCUCAGAAGAACAAUUCCUAUAAGAAAUCUGUCUUCUGUUGACUACAAUAUGGGCAGUCUUGAGGAUUUUCUAUAUUGCAUCUCGUUCAGUCAAUUUCAUGUGCUCAGAAUUUCAUGUUCAUGGAAAGAAGAAAAUAAGAAGGAAAGUCACCUGCACAGCUGUGGAGCCUCCAUGAGAUGGAACUAGGCUCUCUGCAUGUGGGAGACAAUUGUGUAGCUGCAUCUAUCUGAGAGACUCCUGAAGGCAGGACCAGUGUCUAUCCCUGGUGUAUGAGCUAGCUUGUAGGAACCCAUUCCCUAGGGUGGGAUGCCAUGCUCAACUGUAAUGCUUGAGGUUGGGGGGAGGGAUUGGUCCUGCCUCAAUUUAAUGGACCUGGCUUUGUCUAGGUCCCAUGGCAGCCCUUAUCCUGUGA
Molecule: long non-coding RNA, 1327 nt
Organism: Mesocricetus auratus (golden hamster)
Lineage: Eukaryota; Metazoa; Chordata; Mammalia; Rodentia; Cricetidae
Exons: 4
Source: RefSeq, a predicted model, not a curated record